RNAcentral lists this ribosomal RNA (456 nucleotides) under uncultured organism. RNAcentral's name for it is "partial 16S ribosomal RNA". It matches the Rfam family "Bacterial small subunit ribosomal RNA", at positions 329 to 801 of the family's 1533-position model. The record is from RNAcentral.
ACGUACACUCCUGCGGGAGGCAGCAGUGGGGAAUAUUGGACAAUGGGCGCAAGCCUGAUCCAGCCAUGCCGCGUGAGUGAUGAAAGCCCUAGGGUUGUAAAGCUCUUUCACCGGUGAAGAUAAUGACGGUAACCGGAGAAGAAGCCCCGGCUAACUUCGUGCCAGCAGCCGCGGUAAUACGAAGGGGGCUAGCGUUGUUCGGAUUUACUGGGCGUAAAGCGCACGUAGGCGGACUAUUAAGUCAGGGGUGAAAUCCCGGGGCUCAACCCCGGAACUGCCUUUGAUACUGGUAGUCUUGAGUUCGAGAGAGGUGAGUGGAAUUCCGAGUGUAGAGGUGAAAUUCGUAGAUAUUCGGAGGAACGCCAGUGGCGAAGGCGGCUCACUGGCUCGAUACUGACGCUGAGGUGCGAAAGCGUGGGGAGCAAACAGGAUUAGAUACCCCAGUAGUCCCAUGAU